Scophthalmus maximus (turbot) is the source of this 845-nucleotide long non-coding RNA. RefSeq lists it as uncharacterized. The record is from RefSeq and is a predicted model, not a curated record. The transcript has 2 exons. NCBI's taxonomy places the organism in Eukaryota, Metazoa, Chordata, Actinopteri, Pleuronectiformes, Scophthalmidae.
GUGUUUGAUUCAUCGACCGCAGCGGUCCGCCGCCCGGGGGGUGCGGUGCUUCCACGGUUCUCUCUGCCCAGCACGACCCCGCCCCGCCGCGGCGUCCGGGUCGAAAACAUCGAGCUCACGAGAGUCCAGAGCAGCGCGCGCCACAGGAUUGACUGACAGCUCGGGCGUCCAAUGAGGUGACACGGUGGACUCCUGCAGUCGGGGCGCGUUCCCGCUGAAAGGGUAGCGUGUCUGUGCGUGUGGUUGUGCGUGUGCGCGGUCACGCGGUCAGGGCGCGGCCCGUCCCGUUCUGCGCAGGAAGAAAGAGAAAUGACGUCACUUAAACUGACCCGUUUCCUGUCAGAUAAACAAACAGGUAACGUAUUGUGGUGCAACCUCCUGUUUACACCAUCACUUCAGUCCGUGACGUUCAGGACUCAAGUCGUCUGGGGGAGGGGCCUCGGUUUGGUCUCCUCCUGCAGGUACAAGUGUGUGGUGGGGGGCGGGGCCACACUCCACCACGUCGACUCCGGGUGUUGAAGCGGUUCUGUUCAGGCCCCAGAGGGGCGGAUCCAUCAGUGACCUUUGACGACCUGUGGUGCACGCUCAGGAGGCGGGGCUGAGACGUCAUGAUUGACAGCUGAGACGGACCGAGUUGGAUUGUACAGUAACAAAUAGAAACAUGUGAAUUCAUGUUCACUGAGAAUCAUUUAUAGAUCAUAUUGAAAACAAUCACAUUCACUGACUUGUCGUCGUUGUUGGUUUGAGUUCGACUGACGCCUCAAAUUUUGAGGUUAUUGAUCCAUAGAACUGUAGUUUUACAGAUGAAUCUUCUGUCUGAUCAAUAAAAUUUUUCUUUUUUUCUC